Molecule: ribosomal RNA, 206 nt
Filed under: uncultured bacterium
Lineage: Bacteria
Description: partial 16S ribosomal RNA
Rfam family: Bacterial small subunit ribosomal RNA
Source: RNAcentral
GGACUGUAGGCUGCAACUCGCCUACACGAAGCUGGAAUCGCUAGUAAUCGCGGAUCAGCACGCCGCGGUGAAUACGUUCCCGGGCCUUGUACACACCGCCCGUCACACCAUGAGAGUUUGUAACACCCAAAGCCGGUGGGGUAACCUUUUGGAGCCAGCCGUCUAAGGUGGGACAGAUGAUUGGGGUGAAGUCGUAACAAGGUACC